RNAcentral lists this ribosomal RNA (600 nucleotides) under uncultured archaeon. RNAcentral describes it as "bacterial SSU rRNA". It matches the Rfam family "Archaeal small subunit ribosomal RNA", at positions 75 to 674 of the family's 1478-position model. The record is from RNAcentral.
GCACCGGCGGACGGCUCAGUAACACGUGGACAACCUGCCCUCGGGAGGGGGAUAACCCCGGGAAACUGGGGCUAAACCCCCAUAGGAGAUGGAUACUGGAAUGUUCCAUCUCCGAAAGUCCGCAAGGAGCCCGAGGAUGGGUCUGCGGCGGAUUAGGUAGUUGGUGGGGUAACGGCCCACCAAGCCGAAGAUCGGUACGGGCUGUGAGAGCAGGAGCCCGGAGAUGGACACUGAGACACGGGUCCAGGCCCUACGGGGCGCAGCAGGCGCGAAACCUCCGCAAUGCGGGAAACCGCGACGGGGGGACCCCGAGUGCCGUGGCACCGCCACGGCUUUUCCGGAGUGUAAAAAGCUCCGGGAAUAAGGGCUGGGCAAGGCCGGUGGCAGCCGCCGCGGUAAUACCGGCGGCCCGAGUGGUGGCCGCUAUUAUUGGGCCUAAAGCGUCCGUAGCCGGGCCCGUAAGUCCCUGGCGAAAUCCCACGGCUCAACCGUGGGGCUUGCUGGGGAUACUGCGGGCCUUGGGACCGGGAGAGGCGGGGGGUACCCCUGGGGUAGGGGUGAAAUCCUAUAAUCCCAGGGGGACCGCCAGUGGCGAAGGCG